Molecule: long non-coding RNA, 709 nt
Filed under: Homo sapiens (human)
Lineage: Eukaryota; Metazoa; Chordata; Mammalia; Primates; Hominidae
Description: non-protein coding LINC02396:11
Source: RNAcentral
UUGCCUCCUGUCCCUGUGAAUACAGCUGCUUUGCCUGGAUCAGCCUCCAACCUCACUCUGGGCUAGGCCACCUUCUUCCUAGGAUUCAGCUCAAAGUUGGCGCCUCAUGUUUUCCUUCCUCCACGCCUUCAUUUGCACACCAUUCUGGUCCCCUGCAGGGCCUCAUUCUCCUCCCCCAACAUCACUGUCUCUUGUCUGUUGAAGCCUACCCUUUAAGAUGCAGUUCAAAAACCACCUCUCCUUCAGGCCAAUCCUUUUCAAUCUCCCAAUCAGAUAUAACUUCUUCUGAAUCCUCCAAAAGCACAGUACUGAUAACCUUCAAUCAUAUAUGGCUUUGUCUGAAGGAUACUGGGGGACAAACAGCUGUCUCUGUUGUACCUGACAUUCUAGAAUGUCAUGGUUCUUUGUUGCAUGUAAUACAAGUUGGUGCUGGUUAUAAGCUUCUGAACAAUGAUGAGGAUGGUGGCAUUUGACAUUCGUUUACAGAGGAUGAAACUGAGGCACAGAGAAGUCAAGCGUCUUGUGCAGGGCCAGGAUUGGGACCCACGCAGCCUGCUCCAGAGCCGGGCUCUGACCCUCCACAAGAGCCAUCACUAAAGUUCCACUUACCGCUGCACCUUCAAUCUCUUCCUCUCUCCAUCCCUCCCACAUGUUCACAGACAAAAUCUUCUUCCUUAUUUAAUAAAACAAUAUAAUGACCAGCCUGGCA